GAAACCGAAGGUUAAGGUAUAUUGAAAUCUAUAGGAGAAAUGGGAUUUGUACCAUAGAGGGAAGCAACGUUAAACGAUAUAUGGACUAGCAUGGCUACCACUAUCUGAUAUUUAGCCAAAAAAGAAGGAAUUAAAUGUCUGGGUGUAAGCCAAACGACUCUAGGGACAAAUGCGGAUUGCCUCUAUAUCGUCCUAAAAGGGUGUAUAUGGAUAUCCAAAGAAAA
This 224-nucleotide long non-coding RNA is filed under the name Lathyrus oleraceus (garden pea). RNAcentral's name for it is "Pisum sativum (pea) long non-coding RNA (PSAT_LNC005861)". The record is from RNAcentral. Lineage: Eukaryota; Viridiplantae; Streptophyta; Magnoliopsida; Fabales; Fabaceae.